Molecule: ribosomal RNA, 523 nt
Filed under: uncultured Lachnospiraceae bacterium
Lineage: Bacteria; Bacillati; Bacillota; Clostridia; Lachnospirales; Lachnospiraceae
Description: bacterial SSU rRNA
Rfam family: Bacterial small subunit ribosomal RNA
Source: RNAcentral
GGGACUUGCUCGUUCUGGAUGAGUUGCGAACGGGUGAGUAACGCGUAGGUAACCUGCCUGGUAGCGGGGGAUAACGAUUGGAAACGAUAGCUAAUACCGCAUAACAUUGACUAUUGCAUGAUAGUCAAUUGAAAGGUGCAAAUGCACCACUAUCAGAUGGACCUGCGUUGUAUUAGCUAGUUGGUGGGUAACGGCUCACCAAGGCGACGAUACAUAGCCGACCUGAGAGGGUGAUCGGCCACACUGGGACUGAGACACGGUCCAGACUCCUACGGGAGGCAGCAGUGGGGAAUAUUGCGCAAUGGGGGAAACCCUGAUGCAGCGACGCCGCGUGAGUGAAGAAGUAUUUCGGUAUGUAAAGCUCUAUCAGCAGGGAAGAUAAUGACAGUACCUGACUAAGAAGCCCCGGCUAACUACGUGCCAGCAGCCGCGGUAAUACGUAGGGGGCAAGCGUUAUCCGGAUUUACUGGGCGUAAAGCGAGCGUAGGUGGCUUGAUAAGUCAGAUGUGAAAGCCCCGGGCUU